UACAGAGGGUGCGAGCGUUAAUCGGAAUUACUGGGCGUAAAGCGUGCGUAGACGGCUAUCUAAGUCGGGUGUGAAAGCCCCGGGCUCAACCUGGGAAUUGCAUUCGAGACUGAAUAGCUAGGGUGCGGUAGAGGGAAGCGGAAUUUCCGGUGUAGCGGUGAAAUGCGUAGAUAUCUGGAGGAACACCGGUGGCGAAGGCGGCAUCCUGGACCGAUAUUGACACUGAUGCGCGAAAGCCAGGGGAGCAAACGGG
This 253-nucleotide ribosomal RNA is filed under the name uncultured bacterium. Its description in RNAcentral is "partial 16S ribosomal RNA". It matches the Rfam family "Bacterial small subunit ribosomal RNA", at positions 524 to 776 of the family's 1533-position model. The record is from RNAcentral.